AGACUGCCUCAAUUCAAACGUGUUAUUCACGAAUGUUUUUGGCAAGGAAAUCGCCAAUCCUCGUGAUCAGUUGAUUUUGUGAUACGUCACGAUGAGAUCUAGAUCUCUGUGGAGUGUUUCUCAUAUAGUCUAUCCGCCUAACUGCUGUUGAUCCGGGUGAAUCCCAUCCCGGAACCAGUGAGACCUGCGUUACUGUUGGAAUUUUGUUUCUGAUUGUCGAAAUUUGAUAUCUUCUGGCCUCGCAGGAAGACAAGUAUUAUAUCACGCUGUUUGCCGUUAAGGGCAGGAGGCAAAAUUUCUUCAACCUCGGUGCCUUGAUUCAUGCACAGCAUUGGAACGGUUG
RNAcentral lists this small RNA (343 nucleotides) under Histoplasma capsulatum. RNAcentral's name for it is "hypothetical RNA". Lineage: Eukaryota; Fungi; Ascomycota; Eurotiomycetes; Onygenales; Ajellomycetaceae. The record is from RNAcentral. RNAcentral also lists the same sequence under 1 other name.